Molecule: ribosomal RNA, 543 nt
Filed under: uncultured bacterium
Lineage: Bacteria
Description: bacterial SSU rRNA
Rfam family: Bacterial small subunit ribosomal RNA
Source: RNAcentral
CAACGCGAAGAACCUUAUCAGGGCUUGACAUCGUACUAAUGAAGUAGAGAUACAUUAGGUACCCUUCGGGGGAAGUAGAGACAGGUGGUGCAUGGUUGUCGUCAGCUCGUGUCGUGAGAUGUUGGGUUAAGUCCCGCAACGAGCGCAACCCUUAUUGUUAGUUGCUACGCAAGAGCACUCUAGCGAGACUGCCGUUGACAAAACGGAGGAAGGUGGGGACGACGUCAAAUCAUCAUGCCCCUUAUGUCCUGGGCUACACACGUAAUACAAUGGCGGUCAACAGAGGGAUGCAAAACCGUGAGGUGGAGCGAACCCCUAAAAGCCGUCCCAGUUCAGAUCGCAGUCUGCAACCCGACUGCGUGAAGUCGGAAUCGCUAGUAAUCGCGGAUCAGCAUGCCGCGGUGAAUACGUUCCCGGGCCUUGUACACACCGCCCGUCACACCAUGAGAGUCGGGAACACCCGAAGUCCAUAGCCUAACCGCAAGGGGGGCGCGGCCGAAGGUGGGUUCGAUAAUUGGGGUGAAGUCGUAACAAGGUAACCGU